UACGUAGGUGGCGAGCAUUGUCCGGAUUUACUGGGCGUAAAGCGCGCGCAGGCGGCUGUUCAAGUCCGAUGUGAAAUCUUCCGGCUUAACUGGAAAACGGCAUUGGAUACUGGACGGCUGGAAGGUGGGAGAGGGUAGCGGAAUUCCCGGUGUAGUGGUGAAAUGCGUAGAUAUCAAGAGGAACACCUGAGGUGAAGACGGGUUGCUGGGCCAACACUGACGCUGAGGCGCGAAAGCCAGGGGAGCAAACGGG
RNAcentral lists this ribosomal RNA (253 nucleotides) under uncultured bacterium. RNAcentral describes it as "partial 16S ribosomal RNA". It matches the Rfam family "Bacterial small subunit ribosomal RNA", at positions 524 to 776 of the family's 1533-position model. The record is from RNAcentral.